CCUACGGGAGGCAGCAGUGAGGAAUAUUGGUCAAUGGACGAGAGUCUGAACCAGCCAAGUAGCGUGAAGGAUGACUGCCCUAUGGGUUGUAAACUUCUUUUAUAUGGGAAUAAAACGUUCCACGUGUGGGAUUUUGUAUGUACCAUAUGAAUAAGGAUCGGCUAACUCCGUGCCAGCAGCCGCGGUAAUACGGAGGAUCCGAGCGUUAUCCGGAUUUAUUGGGUUUAAAGGGAGCGUAGGCGGAUUGUUAAGUCAGUUGUGAAAGUUUGCGGCUCAACCGUAAAAUUGCAGUUGAAACUGGCAGUCUUGAGUACAGUAGAGGUGGGCGGAAUUCGUGGUGUAGCGGUGAAAUGCUUAGAUAUCACGAAGAACUCAGAUUGCGAAGGCAGUUCACUGGACUGCAACUGACACUGAGGCUCGAAAGUGUGGGUAUCAAACAGGAUUAGAUACCCUAGUAGUC
Molecule: ribosomal RNA, 460 nt
Filed under: uncultured bacterium
Lineage: Bacteria
Description: partial 16S ribosomal RNA
Rfam family: Bacterial small subunit ribosomal RNA
Source: RNAcentral